Molecule: long non-coding RNA, 431 nt
Filed under: Apteryx rowi (Okarito brown kiwi)
Lineage: Eukaryota; Metazoa; Chordata; Aves; Apterygiformes; Apterygidae
Description: lncRNA (ENSARWG00000008591.1)
Source: RNAcentral
CUUUGGUUUUCUUGCCAGAGUAAAUGACUUUCUUCCUAACUGUAAUGUGCAUUCCUCAGGUCUGUUCUUCCCUAUUAGAGCAAUUUAGCCCUAUAUAGCUACUGAUCGUGUUUUAUUUCUAUGCUGGCUAUUGGACUCUAAUUAAAUUCUCAUUGCUACGUUUGUUUACAAAUGACUAAAAUCACAUUCCUGUUCAUUUCAGUGAGUCUUAUCUCAAGGAGCAGCUGCAGAAGCUUUUGAGAUUAGAUUCCAUGACAAUAAAAUGCUGCUGACAGGGAAACCACUGUGCUGGUUUAACGUGGUCUAAUACUGCGCUAUGGGUAAGGUGCAGUUUUCUCACUACCAAGAAGGAAAACUCCACAUUGAUUUGAAGGUAGGAAAGAUUCUGAAGAUGAAGUAAUUGAGAUGAAGGCUCUUAUCCAUGUUCUCAC